This 504-nucleotide ribosomal RNA is filed under the name uncultured Glomeromycotina. Its description in RNAcentral is "partial small subunit ribosomal RNA". It matches the Rfam family "Eukaryotic small subunit ribosomal RNA", at positions 591 to 1092 of the family's 1831-position model. Lineage: Eukaryota; Fungi; Glomeromycota. The record is from RNAcentral.
CCAAUAGCGUAUAUUAAAGUUGUUGCAGUUAAAAAGCUCGUAGUUGAAUUUCGGGAUUGGCAUAUCGGUCGUGUCUUCGGACAUGUACUGGUAGUUGUCAAUCUCCACCUUCUAGUGAACUAUUAUGCCUUUCACUAGGUGUAAUAGGGAGCUAGGACUGUUACUUUGAAAAAAUUAGAGUGUUUAAAGCAGGCUUUAUGCUUGAAUAGAUUAGCAUGGAAUAACGAAAUAGGACGGCAUGAUUCUAUUUUGUUGGUUUCUAGGAUCACCGUAAUGCUUAAUAGGGAUAGUUGGGGGCAUUAGUAUUCAAUUGUAAGAGGUGAAAUUCUUGGAUUUAUUGAAGACUGACUACUGCGAAAGCAUUUGCCAAGGAUGUUUUCAUUAAUCAAAAACGAAAGUUAGGGGAUCGAAGACGAUCAGAUACCGUCGUAAUCUUAACCAUAAACUAUGCCGACUAGGAAUCAGACUCAGUUUAUUUUUUAAUGACGAGUUUGGCACCUUACG